RNAcentral lists this unclassified non-coding RNA (337 nucleotides) under Hevea brasiliensis (rubber tree). The record is from RNAcentral. Lineage: Eukaryota; Viridiplantae; Streptophyta; Magnoliopsida; Malpighiales; Euphorbiaceae.
AUAUAUGACAACCAGUGCAGUGAAAAGGGCUCCUCGAUUGUACGGAUAAAAUACCCCGACCAGUGCAAGAACAAAAAUGAAAAUUGUAAGUGUAAAUAGUUGAGUUCCGGAACCGAGACAGGCUGCAAAUAAUGAAUUGUUCUUUGGGUACCUGAAGACGUCACCAUGAAUAUAUUUCCAGCCAGUCUCUUCUUGGUCAUCAACUGCCUCUUCAUCAUGAGCAUAUUUGACAAAAUCAUUCUUCAGCACCCGCAUAAGAAUAGUGGCAAGGAACCCCGUCAACAAGAGCACCGUGACACAUGAGUUUAUAAUCGAGAACCAGUGGAUCUCCAAAUGA